This 106-nucleotide ribosomal RNA is filed under the name uncultured bacterium. RNAcentral's name for it is "partial 16S ribosomal RNA". It matches the Rfam family "Bacterial small subunit ribosomal RNA", at positions 1395 to 1500 of the family's 1533-position model. The record is from RNAcentral.
CGUCACACCAUGGGAGUCGGAAAUGCCCGAAGUCUGUGACCCAACCGCAAGGAGGGAGCAGCCGAAGGCAGGUCGGAUGACUGGGGUGAAGUCGUAACAAGGUAUC